AUUGAACGCUGGCGGCAUGCCUUACACAUGCAAGUCGAACGGCAGCGCGGGGCAACCUGGCGGCGAGUGGCGAACGGGUGAGUAAUAUAUCGGAACGUACCCUGGAGUGGGGGAUAACGUAGCGAAAGUUACGCUAAUACCGCAUACGAUCUAAGGAUGAAAGCAGGGGACCGCAAGGCCUUGUGCUCCUGGAGCGGCCGAUAUCUGAUUAGCUAGUUGGUGGGGUAAAGGCCUACCAAGGCAUCGAUCAGUAGCUGGUCUGAGAGGACGACCAGCCACACUGGAACUGAGACACGGUCCAGACUCCUACGGGAGGCAGCAGUGGGGAAUUUUGGACAAUGGGCGCAAGCCUGAUCCAGCAAUGCCGCGUGAGUGAAGAAGGCCUCGGGUUGUAAAGCUCUUUUGUCAGGGAAGAAACGGCGCGGGCUAAUAUCCUGCGCUAAUGACGGUACCUGAAGAAUAAGCACCGGCUAACUACGUGCCAGCAGCCGCGGUAAUACGUAGGGUGCAAGCGUUAAUCGGAAUUACGUGGGCGUAAAGCGUGCGCAGGCGGUUUUGUAAGUCUGUCGUGAAAAUCCCCGGGCUCAACCUGGGGAAUUGCGAUGGAGACUGCAAGGCUAGAAUCUGGCAGAGGGGGGUAGAAUUCCACGUGUAGCAGUGAAAAUGCGUAGAGAUGUGGAGGAACACCGAUGGCGAAGGCAGCCCCUGGGUCAAGAUUGACGCUCAUGCACGAAAGCGUGGGGGAGCAAAACAGGAUUAGAUA
This 763-nucleotide ribosomal RNA is filed under the name uncultured bacterium. RNAcentral's name for it is "bacterial SSU rRNA". It matches the Rfam family "Bacterial small subunit ribosomal RNA", at positions 28 to 784 of the family's 1533-position model. The record is from RNAcentral.